Long non-coding RNA from Motacilla alba alba, 1712 nucleotides. RefSeq lists it as uncharacterized. The record is from RefSeq and is a predicted model, not a curated record. NCBI's taxonomy places the organism in Eukaryota, Metazoa, Chordata, Aves, Passeriformes, Motacillidae. The transcript is spliced from 3 exons.
GGGGCGGUCGCGCGAGCCGCUCCCGCCGGAAAAUGUGAGGGAAGGGGCCCGGAAAGGUCUUUGGUGGAGUUUAUCUCGCAUGCCAGGGAAUUCCGGAAUGGGACAGGCUGGAAGGGACCACAGGGCUUCCUCUGAGCUCAAAGGGAGCAGAGAUCCCAGCAGCCUUGAGAAGAUCUGGGCAAGUUACUCCAUGGGGAUCCAUCCCUAUUUUUCACAUUGCUGGCUAGGUAUCUGACAGGGAGGACAAUUCCCUGCCGUUUAUCAUUAGCCAGAAAAGUUUUCUGCCCAGCAGAUGCUCCAGAUCCUGAAUUAUCCUGAAGUGCCAAUGUACUCACCCUCUACAGUCAUGUCCUUCAGUACCUUCUGGAGACUGUGUUCUGGAAAAUGGAUAUCCGUUGAGAAUGUUGGGACUUCAGCACUCCAACAUUGACCUGCUUCCCUAGAAUGAAUGCAGAGAUGUGUUUCAUUUCAGAAAAUUGCUGAGUCACAUAGAAUACCUCAUUCUGGGUUGUGAAGCAGACAAAACGCACCUUUUGUCAUCUUCUGUCUGUAUUGGAAGUGCUUUGCUUAUUUUUGGGGUUUAUUAACAGAAAACAGUUUACAAAAGGAGUUGAUGGGGUCUAAGGAAAACUCACUGCAGUGCUUCCAGGAAUUAAAGUAGCAGUAAAAAGAAUUCUGGCCUUAAGUGUUGCUGUAGGAGCUUUGUCAGUGGGAUGGGUUUCAGGGUGUCCCCACUCCCUGGAAACCUCCGUGGGGCAAAUGUCCCUGUCCAGUGUGGGAGAUGAUCACUCAGAAGCCCAGAAGGUGGAAAGCUUGGGCCGAACACGUACAGACACCACCAUCUAGUGGCGCCCGGCUCCAACAGCCUCCAUGCAGCCCGGAAUCGGGACGUCCAGCUGAGUUAGACAUACUACCGCUCCCAAAUGGCUUCUCCUAGGGAGCUGAGGGCAACCACAAAAUCCACGCCCUGCCUCAGGAGGGACCUCCGGCUGCUCCUUCUCUACUCCGGCCGGCACAGCGACACUGCCUUGAUUUUGGGGGGAAAAGUCACUCCUGACUCCCAACAGCUGCUCCUUGUGGUCAUGGGCUUGAUCCUGCAAACAGCCAUGCCCCCUGGCAUCAAGGGCAGUGAACUGGGAUAAAUUGGGGUCUUGCUUCAUCCCACAGCUCCAUGGGAAAUGGAAGUCUCCUGCCUGAAUAGCAUAUGUGGAAUCAUUGGGGUUUCUCCAGUGGAAGCAGCCCCAGGCAGCCUGAGGGGAGCACAUCCUGCUUCUUCAUGUUGCAGCUGGGCUCUGCUCUUGCCUUUGCCUUUCCCUGAGCCCAUCGGCAGACAAAAUGCUCAGCCUGGGGCCAAACAAAGCUGGGCCUAACUCCACUCAAGCCCAGAUUCCACUUGGGUGCUGGAAUCACCCACUGAGCCCCAACCUGGCACAGCUGGGAACACUGAACACUGCCCAAGGUGCCUGAAUAUAGUGUGGGUUGGGAGCACCCGGUAGCACAGGGUGUGUGUAGGGUGUCAGAGACCCAAGCAAACAGGAUGUUGCAUGCUGGGGUUCACUCCUCUUGCAUGGGAGUGAGAUGCUGCCAGUACCAUAGUCUGCAGUGGGCUUUGGCCCACCUUGUGCUCCCCAACUUGUUAUUGACCCUAAGGAGGGAACCAGUAACAGAGCAGGGACCCCAUGGGGGGCCCAUAGCCCUGUUUGCCCUGGUUC